This 492-nucleotide ribosomal RNA is filed under the name uncultured bacterium. Its description in RNAcentral is "partial 16S ribosomal RNA". It matches the Rfam family "Bacterial small subunit ribosomal RNA", at positions 29 to 507 of the family's 1533-position model. The record is from RNAcentral.
AGUGAACGCUGGCGGUAGGCCUAACACAUGCAAGUCGAACGGCAGCACAGUAAGAGCUUGCUCUUACGGGUGGCGAGUGGCGGACGGGUGAGGAAUACAUCGGAAUCUACUUUUUCGUGGGGGAUAACGUAGGGAAACUUACGCUAAUACCGCAUGCGACCUACGGGUGAAAGCAGGGGAUCUUCGGACCUUGCGCGAUUGAAUGAGCCGAUGUCGGAUUAGCUAGUUGGCGGGGUAAAGGCCCACCAAGGCGACGAUCCGUGGCUGGUCUGAGAGGAUGAUCAGCAACACUGGAACUGAGACACGGUCCAGACUCCUACGGGAGGCAGCAGUGGGGAAUAUUGGACAAAGGGCGCAAGCCUGAUCCAGCCAUACCGCGUGGGUGAAGAAGGCCUUCGGGUUGUAAAGCCCUUUUGUUGGGAAAGAAAAGCAGCAGGUUAAUACCCCGCUGUUCUGACGGUACCCAAAGAAUAAGCACCGGCUAACUUCGUG